Xiphophorus hellerii (green swordtail) is the source of this 2622-nucleotide long non-coding RNA. RefSeq lists it as uncharacterized. The transcript has 2 exons. The record is from RefSeq and is a predicted model, not a curated record. NCBI's taxonomy places the organism in Eukaryota, Metazoa, Chordata, Actinopteri, Cyprinodontiformes, Poeciliidae.
UGUUUCUCAUUCCCUGAUUACCUCCUGUGUAUUUAGUGUCACCUGUGUGUCUGUGUCUUUGUCGGGUCCUCGUCUCAUUUGGCGUCUUUGCUAUCUUAUGUGUGUUCAGUCCGUCGUCAGUCCAGUCUUUUACCUAGUUGCUACCUGUGAUGAGCCUUGGUCUUCGCUCAACAGUGCUGCCUUGGAUUUUGGACUGUUUUUGUCUUUAUUAAACUUCAUUCACCUCACUACAACCUGGGUCUCAAGCGUCUGCCUCACCACCUACAUCGCAUUUCUUGACAAUAGAAGAGAGUACUGGACUCCAGGCUUGAAUAGUUUCAUGUUUCUGAGCAGGACAGGAUCCGCAAUUUGAAACAGUUUCCUCAACCAGAAGCAGCUGCUCUACUUUCUAUAGAAAAUCUGUGGGAUGAUCAGAAGAAAAGAAAGUAUAAAAGAGGAUCCAGGAAUCUGAAAGACAUAUUGCACAGAGGGUAAAGACCAAAGGACUUUGUUGGUAUAUGUACGAAUAUUGUGAAAUGUUAUAGAAAAACACGAAAUACUGAUCAAUUUCAAAAAAUGUGUUGUAAUACACAUCAAUCAACAUUUGUGCCACCAUUGAUUUUUCUGCUGCAAAUAUCUUAAGGUUUGUGCACAUCUUUAACAAGUGGACCAAUCAAAGUAACUCUGCAUUUCAUAUUGAGCAUAAAGAGGCUUCAGGAACAUUUUAGAGGUGACUUUGAAGUAACGCAAUUAAUUUAGGUUCUAAUAUUUUCACAUUGAUGUCUUAGAUGUCUUACGGAAAUUUUGACCUCCUGUUUCAUUAGAUUCUUUAUUCCUUAAUAAAUAAACUACUGGCAGCUCCUGGCUCCCUCCAGUCCAGCGUUUCAUUGGAGUUUGUGUUGUUGGUUCAGAUUCCACGUUGUAAACCUUUUUUAUGUGUCUCCGUCCAGGACAAACUGUGUCCCGGUCCUGGCAGACACGCAGCAUGGGGGACAACAGGUCUUUGUGUGCCAACCUUUCCCUCCUGGGGCUUUGUGCUUCUUAACCAAAACCACUAAUUAGCAUGACUUGUUGAUGGUGGCAGCAAGGAAGCUAGUAGUCACAGGAUCAUUCAUGUGACAGGAUCAGAGGAUACACACCACAACAUGAAGAGGAGCAGAUUCUUCACAGAGGGACAAAAGGACGACGGUGCCAUCUUACCCCAAUCCUCUGAGGCGUUGAAUUAGACCUGAGACAUUCUGCACCUGAGGUGCAACAGUGGCUGCCUGAGUGGAAACCCCCCAUCAGGAGGAUGAGGAACGCCACCGUGGAGCCCAGCAUAUCAGUUUAAUAAGCUCUACUUACAACUGAUUAAAUCAUGAACACAAGCUGCUGCUGUUUUAUGAGUUAAUCACAUUAAAAUGCUGCUGCAUGAAUCACAAGCCAAUUGAUUUUCUCCCGCCAUGAAACGGAAGACCACCCAGAGAUCAACAGUGAAGGUCUGCCACUGGAGGUCCCCGGUGAUUUUCUGAGAUCUGCCUGAAUGCAACGGGAGAGUUUCAGAUCGAUAAGAUUCAGACGCCUGAACAGCUGGAACGUGGAAAAACGUUCCAUCACAGGCGGGGAACUGUUUGGUUCUGCAGUUUUUAGAGAACAGCAGGAACGAUGCGACAAGAACCAAACAGAAUCGCAGUAAAUAGCGGUUUACGAUCAGCUAAAAAUCUGUUGGUACAUAAUCAAUAAAUCAAUACAAUUAAGCAUAUAACACUUCUGGAACUUUAAGUCUGCUAUUGUUUAAAUGUGACUAAAAUUCUUCAAAUUACUUUUAUUUCUUAUCUGUUUUUUCCUCUUGUCUCAUUAGCUUAACUUUAUGUCAGCAUCUUUUCCCUCCUGCAUUCCAGGCUGCAGCAUCUCCAGGUCUGCCUGAAUUAAGAGGCCCUGGAGCCAAUGAUGUGACUACUUUUCUGCUGUUACUCUCCAGUAAUUCCUGCUAUUGACUUUGAGUUCUCUCUCUGCGAGUUGCUGUUUUUAUUCCUGACCUCUCAUCCCUCGGCCAGUAGCUGCAGAUUGUUGUUUAUGCUCAGCCUUGUUCUUCCAGUCAAAAGGCGGCGGUUUGGCACUGCAUGCUUGCUCAGGAUGAGGGAUUGCUGCAAAGUCAGUGACUCAACUGUUUGCAAUGACUAAUAUGGAUAGGUUUUGUGCUGAAUUGGUGCUUAGUAAAUAAACCUAUUUUUGAAGUAUGAGGCCGCAGUUCUCAAUCAGAAGAAGGUGUACAUCUCCCCUCUGGUCUGGUGUCAAACUUUGCCUAAGGGUAAAAUGUUCUUCACCAGUGAUAUUAGGGUAGAAUGAGACAUGGAGAGAUGGACUGAAGCUUUGUUUGCAUGGGCUUGUGUUUUGUUUCCAUCUGGUCAUAAGAAAUGGAUCCAACUGAAGGAAGCAGUUGAUUGGGAGAUCUUAUUAGGAUGUCCUCUUAUUUCCACCUUUUGGUGGUUUUCCCACUGAGACCAGUCAUGUAGAAGGGUUUUUUUUUUUAUCCCUUCCAGCUUUGGAAUCAGGUACCCCAAAGUGUGUGGCAGACACAGGUUGUGUCAUAACUCAGUUUAAUGUCUCUGUUUUUUCUGAAUGAAACAAAUGAAGAAAUUAAAUAAAAUGAAGUGAAAAAAG